GGACUACCGGGGUUUCUAAUCCUGUUUGCUCCCCUUGCUCUCGCGCCUCAGCGUCAGGUGUUAGCUAGAAAACCGCUUUCGCCACCGAUGUUCCUCCACAUAUCUACGCAUUUCACCGCUACACGUGGAAUUCCGUUUUCUCCGCCAACCCUCUAGAUCAACAGUUUCAAAUGCAGUGCUGAGGUUGAGCCCCAGAAUUUCACAUCUGACUUACUGAUCCGCCUACGCGCCCUUUACGCCCAAUAAUUCCGAUUAAUGCUUGCACCCUACGUAUUACCGCGGCUGCUGGCAC
RNAcentral lists this ribosomal RNA (292 nucleotides) under uncultured bacterium. Its description in RNAcentral is "partial 16S ribosomal RNA". The record is from RNAcentral.